RNAcentral lists this non-coding RNA (26 nucleotides) under Homo sapiens (human). Lineage: Eukaryota; Metazoa; Chordata; Mammalia; Primates; Hominidae. The record is from RNAcentral.
UCUCUCAGGGGCUUGGGCUGCAGGAC